UUCUGUAUUUGGCCAGUGUGACUCAGUGCGGGAAUGUGGUUUUUAUUGCCUGAAUGGAUGACUCAAUCUGUACAUAUGAGAACAGUCCCUGAAGAGAGCACAUCACAUUGCACGUAGGAAAAGAUAAGGAAAGGAGAAUCCUCUAAGAGGAUCAAAAUGGAUAAUCUACAAUACAGUAUGGAAAUCGCUCAUCCAAGACCAUGGAAAGCAAUUUCAAUAGGAAACAACUAUCUUAUAUUUCAUAUGGACUUAAUUGUGACUGCAAAGACAUCUUGGAAGAAAGCAGCAAUGCAGAGACACGUGCAAGGAAAUAUUUCUUCUUUCUUGAAAUAUGAAAUUAAUGAUUUAUCAUGAAACUGGUUCUGGCCCAGCCAAUCUAACUGUUGAGGGGAGAACAGUGCCUUCUCAUCUGCCCCUGUCCCAUCCCUAUUUAGGUACUGAAAAUAGCUGAAUUACAUAGGGAAAGACCUAUGGUUUGCACAAUCACUGGAGAAAGCUCAUAUGAGCAGUUUUAUGCUCUGCCAUGCAGUUUAGGGGCAUACAUUGCGGUACAAAUUCCAUGAAUAAGUGUUGGAACAAUUAAGGGCAGACCUGCAUGAAAAAUAAAAGGAAAAAAUGUAAUAAAAAUAAUUGAAGGAAAAGAAUAAUAAUAAUAAAAAGAAAUCCACACAUGAUAGUCCAAAAGCACGCUAUUCUCUCCAGUCAAAACUGAAUGGAUUUUCUUCAGAUUCUUUUCCUCAGACAGAAACAAGUUUUCCCCUUCUGACCAGAAUCGAGCACACUUAACACUACAGCAGGGCCUUACUUUGUUUCAUGGAAGAUUACAUGACGACAGAAAUAGAAAUUAGAGCUCCACUAUGGAACUGCUCAUUCUCAAGGCUCCAGUUACCUUUCCAAAACAUCGCAGGAACAUAGUCAUGCAACAGGAAGCUAAACUUGCAAAUGCUGUGUCAGAUACAGCUCUGACUAAACAUUAAUUCAUUUCUGCUGGUUUGGUUAGCUAUCUUAGCCUUGUCUACUGUAUCAUCUCCUGGAAUGACAACAGGGCUUGUGAGGGAUUGUCAGUCAGUGUUAUCUGUAAUAUAAGGAACAUUUAAGAAAGAGCUAUGAGUUCCUCCCAUUCUCUGUGGGAUAAGUGCUUCAUGAGAUUCGUUUCCUGAGCUGAAGGAUGAAAGAAGUCUGUUUUGAGAUGACCCAUCUCUUAUUUACACGGAAGAAAUCAAAGCUUGUUAAAAUAAGGUGACUUGCCUGAAGUUACAUGAAAAUAAUCCAGUUGUUCCAAAUCCUGAUAUGACAGGAGCCUUUGCAUAGUAUCAAACCAUUUCUCCAUUUCUCCAGUUCAACAAUUCCAGCAGCAAGACACUACACUUGGGCUUUAUGAGAUACUGGCUCCUUACAUUUACUUUACAUGAGAAAAAAAAUGCCGUGGUCCAGUUCUGGAAAAACUCAACCCUCCUCAUCACCUGCUCCCCUCCUACAAACCUACAUUACAACAGAUUACACCUGGUUAAUGAUUUUCAACUAGAUUGAUUUGAAGCCUCCUAACUUUUUAAAAUUUAUUAUUAUUAUUAUUAUUAUUAUUAUUUAGUGGUGGUUAAGCCUUCUGAUCCAUGAAAUUUCACUUUACUGACAGCACCUUGCUUUCUUAUUCACCUGUCAUCAAUCCUCUCAGAAGCAGCUCCUGGGCCAUGAGAGCUCUGCCAAACGCAGACUGAAAUAACUUCUCCAGAGAACUGCUUGCCAAGUGAUUUUAUGCCCAGGUCUGCAACAUAAAUCCUACAAUAAAUAUAAACCGAACUUCGUAUACAAGUGGACCACCUUACUUCCAGAAUUUAUUACUUCCCAUCUCAUUGUAUCUUCACUACCUUAGAUUUACGUAGAACUUGGCUCCAUAAAGGCUUAAAGAUCUUAUUCAAAAAUGCUUCUGGAUCUGCUGCAGACAUGUCUGUUCUCCCAGGACAAAACCAAGAGCAACCAUCUCUCCUCAAACCUUGUCACACAGAGAAUAGGAGCAUUGCUCUCUACUAAGGUCACUGAUUACAAAGCCAUACUUCAAAAUGGCAAAUAUCAUUAGAAAAUUAUAUGAAUUAUAUGUAUUAAAGGCCCAUGUGAACCACGAAGGAGCAACCUGUAAGCAAGAUUUCUGAGCUGACACCUUAAACAAACGUUUUUCUUUUCCUACCAUGGACUGCUGUAGAAGGACGUCUCUGCAGGACUUUCCUCAGAGAGGCAGCAAAUCUCUGCUGCUUUCACUCACUGCUGAAAUGCAGCAGCCAUGUUUGGGAAGAACUGAGCUCCUGGGCACAGUUUGCACGACUAUCACUCUCAGCCCUGCACCACCUCAACAAAAAGCACCCAAAAAAAGAGACCAGGAAAAAAAAAAAAGACUGCUCUUGUGCCACCAUCUGUAUUUCUUCUGCAAGAUGAAGAAAACAGUAACGUCUCAUCAAUGUAAAACGACUGAAGGUCAACAAGGAGACCUGCAGCACUAUAGACAUUAUCACAAUCUGUUGAACAGCAAUCACUGGUUACCAACAAUACAGCAAAAGAACUCUGGAAGAAAAGUCAAAAUUAACUGUAACAAAUGAAAGUAUGUAUAUAAGUAAAAACACACUAUGUAUACAUGACUUUUUUUUUUUUUUUUUUUUUUUUUUUUUUUUAUUUAACAAAAGCAAAUUGUAUUUACUUGAUGUUUGGAUUUUGCUCAAGAAAUGAGGACAACUUCAUUUUGUUGUUUCUUUCCCCCCUCUAAAGACAUGCUCAUUUUGGAAAGGAACAGAUAAAACUGGGAAUCUACUGAAUGCUGAGCAGGAGUCUCAUCCCUUUUACAUUUCAUUGUCUCCUACAGUAGAACUUCCCCUUGUGAUAAAAUAUCACAGUCUCUCUUCAGCUUUGAGAUCUCACACAUCAGGUCUGGCUGAGCAGCUGCCAGUUAACGAGACACUCACGGCACCUGACAACCUCCAGUGAGGGUAUGGAACUGCCCUAAUGGAGAAGCACAUGCCUUUGAGUAAGGCUCCUCCUAGGGCAAAGCACUGCUAGGAGGUACACACUCCUAACAACAGGUCUGGCUGGUGGCCUUUCCACCACAGCAGGGCCUUGUCUGCUCCUCCCAUGGGCAGGUAUGGAGAAAGACACCUUCCUUCCCUCCUAGAAGACACUUUCAACAUCUAGCAUGGCAGAAGUUAAAAGGAAGCAACCUUUAAAAAUGUAUCUCAAAUCUGAAGUGCAACCUUGUUCCAGAUAAGCAUCUGGAAGACUGGGUCUAUCCACACUGUCCAGAUCUAUUGGGUUUGUAGCAAAUGGGCUGUGAACUUGCCAGGAAAAUUGUUUGUAAUGAGGUUAUUGCUAUUACAGGGAGAAUAAGAAGCAACCCGAAGUUGUAUUUCCUGAAUCCCUACAUGUGUAUAGGCUCAAGAAGCAGCUACUAUUUGAUGCACUGACUGCCACAACAACAACAAAAACGACUGCCCUUCCUCUUUUUCUCUCCUCCCCCCACUGCAGUUUGGUGCCUUGUGUUGACAUUUGAACUCCUGUGCAAUGAGCAUAAAUGUGCCCCUGCAAUCUGGUAGCACUGUACAUACACUUUGUGCAAGCAUGAAUUAUUUAGCAGGGUUCCAGACAGUAGCAAUCAGGCCAACGCCAUCCACCCUCUCAUGAAGACAUUGCUUUUUGCUCUCGUCUUGUUCACUUAAUUUGAAAGAUCACUGCCACUAGAAGCAUAUGUUUAUUCUUUUAUAUGGAAAAUAUAAUACUAAUUAUUUCCUUCCCAAGAAGCCAGAAAUGUUAGCACAACAACUUCUUUCACAGAAUUAUUACACUUCUGUUUCUCAUCCUGUCUGGAACCCAGAAUUUCAAAAGGGCAUAAAAUAAUGGAAAAGAUAUAAUGAACAUUUCUGGAAAGUAAAAAAAAAGGAAAACAUGGAUUUGAGUUGUCUCUAAAAGUAAAAAAUAUUAUGUAUUUUAAAUAAUUUCAUCCACUUUUCCUGACUUUGCAGUCCCAGAGACUGUCAUUCACAGCAAUAACUAGAGCUUCACAAUCAUCACUUUUCAGAGGAUGCAUUUUUUUUAAUCAGCUUAGACUUAUCACUGCAAAGUAGAAAAGAAAUAAAUCUGUAUUGAUGGUAUAUAUUGACACAGUUAAUCUGUCCUUUACUUUUAAUUCAAGCUACCAGAGUUUGUGGCAGAGCUCUAAGCAGUUUGAUAAAUUCUGUAUCUCUGCAGUUCUUCUCUGUGGAUCCACCUCGUUCCUUUGCCAGAAAUGAAACCAAGUGCAGCAGCUAAGACAGCAAUUGCAUAGGCCUGCGGAACAAACGUUCCUGGUCUGUGACAAUAAAAUAAAGUUUGAUUCAUUAGUGAGGUGAAAAAGCACAAAACCAGACUUUGUGCCAGAACUGCAGUUCUGCGAACUGUGAUUUGAUUUUCUGAAAGCUGUUCUGCAUAGUUUGAGCUUUAACUUAUUUUAGCUGUGAGUAUUCCACAGGGAAUUUCUGGUUAUUUUGAGGAUUCCUGACGGGUAACAACUUUGGCAUUGCGCUGGUUUCUACACUACUCAGUGACCAGGAGCCUUGCUAUUGAAAAGCUUUUUCAUGCAAUGAAAACAGCAGUAUUUGAUGCAUGUAAUACCUGGAGACCAAGGGUGAAACUCAGCACUUGUGGGUCUUCAUGGAGUUUUGCUUUCAGUCUUAUCCAUGUGAUCAACAACAUUCCUGCAUUCCUGCUUAGGAGCGAUGGGUGAAAGGAAUGAAAGGCAUGAGGAAAAGUCUUUAUAAAGAAUAAAACAAAUAGGCCAAGUUUUGCUCUUGCAUGUGACUUCCAGCAUGCCAGAAAAAAAAAAAAAAAAGCUAUUCCAGACAUACUCAGACUAGUGUAAUGAAGAUAAAUAAAAAUUUGUCUUAUUUAGCCUUUCAUUUUUUUUCCAGUUAAAAGCUUAAAAAGAUAAAUUCUUCCAGACAAAUAAAUGAUUCCUCAUUACAAUAUGACAGAUCUUUUGCAGUAGUACUUCAGGUAUGCCUCCUGUAUUCUCACAGAAGAGAUUCCUCUUUCUUCGUCUCAUACAGCAUCUGGAAACACCAGAACUAGGGUAAGAAGCUCAGGAAAAUAGGUUUUUGUUUUGCUUUGAUUUUUACCGAUGGCAAGAACUUGCAGAGCAAGAAAUUAAAUUCAGUCUGAGGAAGAGUGGCAAUGUAAUUAACCAAGUCAGAAACCACUAGAUAGAUCAGGACAUUGUAAAGAUAUUGUGCGUGGUGACUGAGGAUUAAUUUUUCUUUUUUUUUUUUUUUUUUAAUCGAUGGAUUCCAUUAUGGCAGAGAGGUUUUUUCCUCCACUGGAAAUAUUGAAGAAAAAAAAAUCUGUCUAUAUUCAUUAUUUUAAAAUUUUUCUUAAUAAAGAGGUCAUCUACAAUUUCUUCUUUUAUAUUUUUCUUCCAAACAAAAUCACUUACAAGCCAUGAAGAAAUGACCUUCGAGCUCCAUAAAUCAAUAUGACAGGUGAUUCAAUCAGCCACAUGCCUUCCCUGAUUUAAGCAGCUGCUGACUCCCAUAGAGCACAUUGAGUGCAGGUCCCAGCGGCCUUGCAAGUGAUGAAGAAAGCAGCAGGUUUGCACUUUUAAAACCACUGAAGCCUGGCUGAGGAAAUCACUGACACAAGUGAAAUAAAAAGGACUGAAUAUUUAAUUUGCAUGAGCUGCUGGCACUGCACACACCUCCGCAUCACAUUUUCUCACUCUGCAUGUUCUGUCAGUAUCGCCAGAGAAGCCACAACCUCGAUGUAGAUUUUAUUCCUACAAAGUGAUACUUCAGUCCACACCUGCAAUUUUUGUGUGUUUCCCAGGCACGCGCUUUAUCAACUUUAAAAGAAGAACUACAUUGAGGGCAGGGGAAAUUCUGUUUAAUCUCAAAUGGGAGAAGCAGAACCGGACAGGCUACUGAGCAACAAAAAAAGUCUUGGUGGGCCACAUUCUCCUUAAAUUCAGAGUGGCUCACUAUAUCAGAAUAACUAACAGCUGGAUUUUUUAUGGCACUGCUUUGGAUUUAUUCAAAUAUAUAUAAUAAGAGGGUUCAACAGAGCUAUUGGGGUCUGAGCCAUGAUAGAGUUUAAGCCUGCAAGCAAAAGAGAUGUACUUCAGUUCUACUCAGGUAUCAGUACCAUGCUUUCCCAGGACUGAAACCUGGUCUCCUAACUUUAAACCCUUCAGGCCACCAAAGGAGUCACAGGGAAAGAUUCAGUAAGCUUGCCUGUGACAGCUGAAAUAUCCCAUCUUUGAAUGUAAGUUGCAGUUAUUCUCCUAACUUUGAAAAAUCUGCUUUGAACAUGAAUUUAACAAGCCUCUGGGACUGGCAGGUUUGAUGCAAUUACUUAGGAUCAAGUCUUUGAGCCUCAGUACUACUGAUUUUUAGUAAAGGACAUCGCACAGAUUAAUUAACAGAAAGGAAACAAACAUGGGGAAGAAAAAACAGAUAGCCCAGUGUCUUGUUUUAAAAGUGCAAACCCUGGAAGCUCAGGGGAAAAUAUGAACAUGAAAUAUAACAGAUAUUUAUUAAUAUAUAAAGAAUUUGUCACAAAGUAAUUAUGAUCACAUGCCCUCCUAGCUACUAGCAAAUUAGAUGCCUAUAGUUUGCAUUCUGAUCCACAGCAUUUGGUAAUCACUAGUAGGCCUACCCUUCAUAGAAUCAUAGAAUGUCUUGAGUUGGAAGGGACCCACCAGGUCUCUCCUGUCCCUGCAUAUUCAUGGACUUGUAAAAUAAAUUUUUAAAAAACCAUUUACAGUUUUGGACUACAAUAUGUCCUGCAGCAAUGAGUUAUGGGAAUAGUACCAUGAGUUUGGGAUGGAGCAUGGAAAGACAUUCUUUACUUUUGUCUAAAGCUCCUGCAUCAUCAUUUCACUACAAGCUUUUCAGUUUUAUACAGAAACAUUAAACUAUGCAGGUGGUUGAGGGUGGGAUCUACUCACUUUCUGUGCACCAUACAUGAAUUCACAAACCUGCUUGGCCACAUCAUCUAUUUUAUCAAAUGUGAAAACUCCUAGUCUAUUUACUCUUCCUUGUCCUGAAGGCAUCUCACACCUGGGAUAACCAUUGUUACACUUGUCCAUAUUUAUUCCAGUUUUGCUGCCUGUUGACCUGGGUUGGCCCAGAAUCAUAUACAAUAAUGAAGAUCUAAGCACAGCAUGGCUUUAUCUAUACAACCAUGUAAUUUUACAUCCUCCUUUUGUUAACAGAAAGUAAAAGGACCUAGACACACAUAGAGAAGAAGGGACAACCCUGUCUGAGGUGGCUGCACCCCAGCCAACCAUCCCUUACCGUGCCAACUUCUGCCUCGCUGCCUCAGCACAUGGCCACUGUCCUGACCAAGUGGCAGCUCUCCUGCCAGGUCUCCAAAGUUGCACCAAAUUCAAGCAUUAGGAUGUGCCAACUAUACAAAGUGCACACAUUUCACCUAGAAGGAAUGGCUGAUUUUUCAUGGUGUGGCUCCUUUAGCCCUCUUCCCCACACGUGGUUUUGAUCAAGGCUUAAUUUGGGGAAGUUUUGUGCUUUGGACUGAUUCACUCCAGUGGUCUUUUUUGGCCUUGAAAUGGAAAAAAACAUGGUGCACAGCAAAUUCGAGGGAUGCAUCAUCCUCAGAAAAGAAAAAACAAAGGAAAGGUCUCGAAUCUUUUUCUCUUACAAAUUGCUUUGCUUUCACUCCCUGUGUUUUCCAUCAUCACUAUUUUUCCAUGGAUCUGCUCUCUCUAAUAUCUUACUGUCAUCUUUCUUCUCUUAAAUAAGCCCAUUCAACUUCAAAAGCCAAAUGGCAGAGGUGCAAAAUAACACUGACACAGACAUGAUCAUUAACAAUGAGCAAUGGUGAGCAUGGUUUCUUGCUUUCCCUCUUUAAUUCCAGUGCAUCAGCUGUAUGAAUGUGCAUUAUUUAAGCUCUGUCCCACAAAAUGAUACACACUUUAGAGGAACAACAGCCUGGUCCUGAUUGCUUUAGGCGGGCUUCUAGUUCUCUCCAAAGUCAUGGCUUUCUACUGGAUCCUUGAAUGGCAGUGGGAAGCAUGCAAGUUAUGAAGAACAAAAUAUUGAAAUUAAGAUUGUAGAUCAGUCCUUCAUUUGGGUUAAAAAAAUCCACACCUGCAGUACAUAGUUUGGGCAAGAAAUUUCUGAAACUAAUCUAACCUCAGAAAGGUUGCACGAUUACACAAUUGCAUGCUAUUUUUAAUUGGACAAAAUAGGUACAAAGGACACGCCAAAAGACAUGGAAAAUAUUUAGGAAGAGAACAUGAAACAUGCUUCCCAUCUGGAAAGCUAACUUCCUUGUCAACCCUAAGAUGAGUUUAAAACUAACUUGGAAGGACAGAGACUACUGGCUGGAUUUAAAAAAAAAAAAAAAAAAGAAAAAAAGAAAAAAAAAGAUUUAUGGUACGUUUGCACUUAAGUCCAUCUGAACCUUAGGCAAGAAGUAAUUCCUGAAUAUUCCAUUUUAGUAGUGGACUACAGAUUAAAGGCUACAGUCUUAGUUGGAGCAAAUUAGUUUAGUUUUAUGAAUGUGAGUAGAGGCUUGCAUGAGGUGAGCAACAGAGCUUUAUAUUUUUCUAGGGGCUUAGUGGAUUUGCUUAUUUUCAUUUGAAGCCAAAGCAUGGAAUAAUUUGUGGAGAAAUCAUGAAUGGAUUAAAUGAAAAACAACAUAGGAGCUUCUGCCAAUGCUCCAGAUGCUCUGAAAUGACAAGUUCUGCAGGCUGAAGCUACAGGGAAACGUUUCUGUCUAUCACUUCAUCUGCUUCCAGGGUUCCCACAGAAAUGUAUAGCUACCUUCCAAAAACCCAGUCAUUUUUCCUGUAUUGUUUCAUUUUUUGGAAUAUUUUUGAUAACUCUCAUAAAGAAAGACUGAGAAAUUUAGUAGAUGACAAAGAAAAGAUAUUUCCAAGGAGUUAAAGCACCAAAUUAUUCUUAGAAUCAUAGAGAUGACAAAGACUUAGUUUUUUCCAUAAAAUCUGUAAAAUGUUAGGCACAAAAAUUUCUAGUAUCUUUAAUGGCAUAAUGAACUAUCCAGGCAUGGUACUUUCUCUCUCUCUCUCUUUUUUUUUUUUCUUCUGUUUGUGAAACUAGCAAGAUCCCCAGUAAGGAAGAAGUAGAUACACGCAACGAGGAGAUUAUCUUGUGUCUCCAAGACCCAUGCUAUACAUUGUAUUCAGAUGCUUCUUCCCUCGACAGUAAUCGGGUAUUUCAUAACUUAUCACAGGCUUGCAAUUUGUUUGAGAUGGAAAUGCCUGCUGCACAUGGGAAGCUGAGACACAGCUGAAGUCUGGCAAAGAUAUAUAGGAGCUUGUAUCCCCUCAAAAUGAGUUAUUUCAUCUUGUAAUCUUUCUGUUGAUCUCUGACUGGCAGUAACAGGAAAUGAACUAAAAUGUUAGGAGUCACUAAUAACUACUGGCUCCAGCAUCUCCUUAGAAACCUGAGAAAAUUAAGAUGUUUAGUGCUCAGAUGAACUAAUUUUUCUCACUUGCAAAGGAUAUAUUGGGUAGCUGUACAAAGGAUGCUUUAAGAAACAACAAAAAAGGACAGGAAGAAGAUGAAGAGAUAAUGCACCCUACCAGUGGCCCCUUUUCCAAAGUAUAGCAAUAAACACGUGAAUGCCUCUCUCUGAUUUUCUGCUGAGGACUGGCUAGGACAGCUGGCUACUUCCCCUCAUGUGGGAACAUGCCACUCGCAGCUGGAGGGUGUUAAGCCCCAUGGCACUGUCAUGUCACGUCAUGGGACGGCAACCUCAGCCGCCUCUACGUAGCUGCUCCUCCUCUGCUGAUCACUCCAGCUAAUCUCCAACUUCUCUGCUCUUCCUGCUCUUCAGGGGAUGUAGAGCAAAGACUAAGGACAGCCAUUUCAAAGAGCAAGACAUCGCUGAACUGUCCACUCCAGAAACUAGAAGACCGAACAUUGGACUACUUUUUAAUCUGAAACCUGCCUUUCACCGAGGUGAAGGCAGCAGAUAGAAGUGCAAGAUGUGAACUACAUAUUCCCUUCCUCUGCAAGUGUAAACAGCUUGUUCUAGUACCUGGAGUAAAAAGCAAACUGCCAAAGAAGAUGGUUGAUGUACUGAACAACAGAAGGCUGCACCUAGAAACAGUUGGAGAAGAACAAGGAGAUGAUGCAGCAGGAAAUAACCAGAGCAGUAUUUCUUUUCACCAUGCACUCAAUCAAGCAGUUGUCAGAGGGACUCACAAGCCCAGCAAGGCUGCAAGCAGUUGAUGAUGGCUAAAGAUGAUGCCAUUCAGAAUCUGAGGUCCACCCCAGCACCUACAGAGGUGAGCGUGAUUGCCCACUGCUGCCUUCAGCAAAAACACUGUGUACUGUGUAUUCAGUCAGAAAAAAUCCAGACUAUCAAUCUGAAAGGUUUUGAAUAAAGCAACUGCUGCUUGUGUAAUGCCAUGGAAUUAAAAUCUCUCUUGAAGUAACCACAUAAAUGGCCUACGGUU
Columba livia (rock pigeon) is the source of this 10453-nucleotide long non-coding RNA. RefSeq lists it as uncharacterized. The transcript has 5 exons. Lineage: Eukaryota; Metazoa; Chordata; Aves; Columbiformes; Columbidae. The record is from RefSeq and is a predicted model, not a curated record.